Molecule: ribosomal RNA, 445 nt
Filed under: uncultured bacterium
Lineage: Bacteria
Description: partial 16S ribosomal RNA
Rfam family: Bacterial small subunit ribosomal RNA
Source: RNAcentral
ACCAGACUCCUACGGGAGGCAGCAGUGGGGGAUAUUGCACAAUGGGGGAAACCCUGAUGCAGCGACGCCGCGUGGGUGAAGAAGCGCCUCGGCGCGUAAAGCCCCGUCAGCAGGGAAGAAAAUGACGGUACCUGAAGAAGAAGCCCCGGCUAACUACGUGCCAGCAGCCGCGGUAAUACGUAGGGGGCAAGCGUUAUCCGGAUUUACUGGGUGUAAAGGGAGCGUAGACGGCCAGACAAGUCAGAAGUGAAAGUCCAGGGCUCAACCCUGGGACUGCUUUUGAAACUGCCGGGCUGGAGUGCAGGAGAGGUAAGCGGAAUUCCUAGUGUAGCGGUGAAAUGCGUAGAUAUUAGGAGGAACACCAGUGGCGAAGGCGGCUUACUGGACUGUAACUGACGUUGAGGCUCGAAAGCGUGGGGAGCAAACAGGAUUAGAUACCCCUGUA